This 253-nucleotide ribosomal RNA is filed under the name uncultured bacterium. Its description in RNAcentral is "partial 16S ribosomal RNA". It matches the Rfam family "Bacterial small subunit ribosomal RNA", at positions 524 to 776 of the family's 1533-position model. The record is from RNAcentral.
UACGUAGGAGGCAAGCGUUGUCCGGAAUUACUGGGCGUAAAGCGCGUGUAGGUGGUGGGACAAGUCUGCUGUGAAAGCGCCUGGCUUAACCGGGCGAGGUCGGCGGAAACUGUUCGACUAGAGGACGGUAGAGGGGGGUGGAAUUCCCGGUGUAGUGGUGAAAUGCGUAGAGAUCGGGAGGAACACCUGUGGCGAAGGCGGCCCCCUGGGCCGGCCCUGACGCUGAGGUGCGAAAGCGUGGGGAGCGAACAGG